Molecule: ribosomal RNA, 252 nt
Filed under: uncultured bacterium
Lineage: Bacteria
Description: partial 16S ribosomal RNA
Rfam family: Bacterial small subunit ribosomal RNA
Source: RNAcentral
GACAGAGGUGCCGAGCGUUAGGCGGAAUCACUGGGCUUAAAGCGUGUGUAGGCGGGCGGCAAGUACCUUGUGAAAUCCCACGGCUCAACCGUGGAACUGCUGGGUAUACUGCUGUCUUGAGCCAGCAGGGCGGAGUCGGAACAGACGGUGGAGCGGUGAAAUGCGUAGAUAUCGUCUGGAACGCCAAGGUAGAAAACAGACUGCUGGGGCUGAUGCUGACGCUGAGACACGAAAGCCAGGGGAGCGAACGGG